Molecule: long non-coding RNA, 322 nt
Organism: Rhipicephalus microplus (southern cattle tick)
Lineage: Eukaryota; Metazoa; Arthropoda; Arachnida; Ixodida; Ixodidae
Source: RefSeq, a predicted model, not a curated record
CCAGUCCACUGGCCCAGGCAGCAGCGAGACCAUCAGUCCCAGCGCAUAUGUGAGGGAAGUCGUGGAGGUGACGCCAGAGUUCACCUCGGUCACCAACAGUCGCGAGCGCUUCGUUGUGGUGGCGAUGAGCGCCUUGCUCCUGCUCAUCAGCUGCACGCUUUUCGCCGUCCUCUUCACGCUCCUCUCAGACGACAGAACCUCAACUAAGUCCAAGGAGGCGAUUUAUGCUGCUUGUCGGGCGUUUAGUUUUGCAAGAGGCUGGUCGAUUUAUGAUAUAUAAGCGAAUAUCGUGCAUUAUUAUUAUUAAAGAGCGAAAACACCU